Molecule: ribosomal RNA, 490 nt
Filed under: uncultured bacterium
Lineage: Bacteria
Description: partial 16S ribosomal RNA
Rfam family: Bacterial small subunit ribosomal RNA
Source: RNAcentral
AGUGAACGCUGGCGGCAGGCCUAACACAUGCAAGUCGAACGGCAGCACAAGAGAGCUUGCUCUCUGGGUGGCGAGUGGCGGACGGGUGAGGAAUGCAUCGGAAUCUGCCCAUUUGUGGGGGAUAACCUCGGGAAACCGGGACUAAUACCGCAUACGACCUACGGGUGAAAGCAGGGGAUCUUCGGACCUUGCGCAGAUGGAUGAGCCGAUGCCGGAUUAGCUAGUUGGAGGGGUAAAGGCCCACCAAGGCGACGAUCCGUAGCUGGUCUGAGAGGAUGAUCAGCCACACUGGGACUGAGACACGGCCCAGACUCCUACGGGAGGCAGCAGUGGGGAAUAUUGGACAAUGGGCGCAAGCCUGAUCCAGCCAUGCCGCGUGUGUGAAGAAGGCCUUCGGGUUGUAAAGCACUUUUGUUGGGAAAGAAAAGCAGCCGGUUAAUACCCGGUUGCCAUGACGGUACCCAAAGAAUAAGCACCGGCUAACUUCGUG